Molecule: long non-coding RNA, 658 nt
Filed under: Mytilus galloprovincialis (Mediterranean mussel)
Lineage: Eukaryota; Metazoa; Mollusca; Bivalvia; Mytilida; Mytilidae
Source: RNAcentral
GGCUAAAUAAAGUACAUGGUGAGCAUAAUGGACCUGGAAUUCCAAAGGUUGAUCCAAAUUUAGCAAAAAGUAAAAUUACAAAAAAAUUGAACUCUGAGGAAAAUUCUAAACAGAAAGUCCCUUAUCAAAUGGCUUAAACACAUUCCACAGGGUCCAGUUUUCAAACCCAGUCCGGUUUUCAGACCCAUUCCCAACGACAAAAACCCUACAUUUUUCCCAAUUUUGGGAGUUAAAUUCCCAAAUGAUCACAAAAUUCAUUUUCAUCUUUAUUAUUCAUGACAGAGAUGUUUAUUUUAUUCAACCGCUAGCUUUAUGCCAAAAAUCGCCAACAAGUAAUGUGUAAAUCCAAGUUGAAACAUAUUGAAUGACAAACAACAUUGACAAACAAUGGCUGUCAUAAAUAAACAGGAAGUGUGGGAAAAUACUAAAACCAGAUCAAAUCCGGAAACGGACAAGUAUAUAUAAAUCUCCUGGUUUUGUCAAUCAAAUACAGUAAAUAAAAAAUGAAAAAAGAACCAAACAUGUGACAGCUGACAUAGCAACACUAAAAUUUAAAACCAAAAGAUAUAUAAAAAAAGGAAAUAGAAACAGGAUAUAUUUUAUACAGAACUCAAAAUAUUUUAGUUCACAAAUUUUCACGUCAAAACAAAAAAAAAUG